CCUUGUCUUUAUGGCACAGUGUGAGAUGCAGUGUAUGGAGUGUUCAAUUUCUAGUAUGAGAAAUUAACGAUUUAAGUCCUUCUUAAAUGAGGCCAUUUACCCAUAGAGGGUGCCAGGCCCGUAUAACGUUAAUGAUUACUAGAGAACAUUUCCAAAGAGUCGUGUUGCUUGAUAGUGCAGCACUAAGUGGGUGGUAAACUCCAUCUAAAACUAAAUAUAACCAUGAGACCGAUAGUAAACAAGUACCGUGAGGGAAAGUUGAAAAGAACUCUGAAUAGAGAGUUAAAAAGUACGUGAAACUGCUUAGAGGUUAAGCCCGAUGAACCUGAAUAUCCAUUAUGGAAAAUUCAUCGUUACGAUUGUUAUAUGAAUAAUAUAGCAAGAAUGGCGUGCAUUUUUUCCAUAUAAGGACAUUGUAAUCUAUUAACAUGCCGAUUUAUCAUAAGAUCAAUGGCUUUAGUUUAUUCAAAUUAGUAUGCUUGCGUAUUAACAUAGAAUAAAUGCUGUUGAUUUGAUAAAGUGUUGAUAGAUCUAUUAUAUAUAGCGCUUGAAUACUUGUAUUCUAUAAUGGCACAUUAAUCUUGAUUUUUGUGUUUAUUAUAUGCGCUUAUAUGAUUUACAAUG
Molecule: ribosomal RNA, 624 nt
Filed under: Musca autumnalis (face fly)
Lineage: Eukaryota; Metazoa; Arthropoda; Insecta; Diptera; Muscidae
Description: eukaryotic LSU rRNA
Rfam family: Eukaryotic large subunit ribosomal RNA
Source: RNAcentral